UGAUGUUACCAUAACCUGGAAGAGGUUAGU
RNAcentral lists this non-coding RNA (30 nucleotides) under Mus musculus (house mouse). The record is from RNAcentral. Lineage: Eukaryota; Metazoa; Chordata; Mammalia; Rodentia; Muridae.